Mastomys coucha (southern multimammate mouse) is the source of this 544-nucleotide long non-coding RNA. RefSeq lists it as uncharacterized. The transcript is spliced from 4 exons. The record is from RefSeq and is a predicted model, not a curated record. Lineage: Eukaryota; Metazoa; Chordata; Mammalia; Rodentia; Muridae.
GCGAGAGACCUCGGAACACUCAGCCCUGAAUGGGAUGUCUCUACGGAACACUCAGCCCUGAAUGGGAUGUCUCUACGGAACACUCAGCCCUGAAUGGGAUGUCUCUACGGAACACUCAGCCCUGAAUGGGAUGUCUCUACGGAACCUUGCGGAAGAUAAGGUGUAAAGCUUUAGAGUCUCAUGGGGGAUGCAAACCACUCUCAAAGGCAGACCCUGUGCCCAGCAGUAGAUGGCCAACACAAAACGAACUUAACGGCAUCUUUGGAGGUUCCUUGUCUCAAAAUGUUCAGUCAGGAUGAACAAUAGAAGAGAUCUUCAUGACUACAUGUCAAGAUGAGACAUCUCCAGGAGACAAAAGUAAAUAAGGAUAGAAAGGAGGCUCUCCUACUGAACCUUGAGCUCACUGAUUGGCUAGACUCGACAUCCGGCUCCAGGGAUCUGCCUGCCUCCAGAUGGAUGCUGUGUUCCUGGCUUUUCUGUGGGAGCCAGGGUCUGAAUCCAGAUUUCCAUGCUUGCAUAAUAAACACUUCACUCUCUGGGCCGU